Molecule: unclassified non-coding RNA, 300 nt
Filed under: uncultured fungus
Lineage: Eukaryota; Fungi
Description: partial contains 5.8S ribosomal RNA, internal transcribed spacer 2, and large subunit ribosomal RNA
Rfam family: 5.8S ribosomal RNA (bases 1-52)
Source: RNAcentral
AACGCACCUUGCGCUCCUUGGAAUUCCGAGGAGCAUGCCUGUUUGAGUGUCAUUAUAUUCUCAACUCCACCAGCUUUUGUGGCUGGCACUUGGAGCUUGGAUGUGGAGGUUUUGCGGGCCUGUUUAUUGGGUCAGCUCCUCUGAAAUACAUUAGCGGAACCGUUUGCGAUCCGUCACAGGUGUGAUAAUUAUCUACGCCAGUGGGUUGCUUUCUGUCUGUUCAGCUUAUAACCGUCCUGUAUUGGACAACUUUAUUGAAAGUUUGACCUCAAAUCAGGUAGGACUACCCGCUGAACUUAA